AUAACUUUACAAAAAAGAUGGUAAAAAUUCGAACUCAGGAGCGUCGCCCUUUCACGGCGGUAACCGGGGUUCGAAUCCCCGUAGGGACGCCA
This 92-nucleotide transfer RNA is filed under the name Acinetobacter junii. Its description in RNAcentral is "tRNA-Glu". The record is from RNAcentral. Lineage: Bacteria; Pseudomonadati; Pseudomonadota; Gammaproteobacteria; Moraxellales; Moraxellaceae.